CCCUUAGAUGCUCUGGGCCGCACGCGCGCUACACUGGUCGAUGCAACGAGUUUCUUUCCUUGGCCGACAGGCCUGGGCAAUCUUUGAACAUCGAUCGUGAUCGGGUUAGAUUCUUGUAAUUUUUGAUCUUAAACGAGGAAUUCCUAGUAAACGCAAGUCAUCAGCUUGCAUUGAUUACGUCCCUGCCCUUUGUACACACCGCCCGUCGCACCUACCGAUUGAAUGGUCCGGUGAAAUCUCCGGACUGGCGUGAGUCGGAGCAAUCUGACAAACACCGGAAAGUUGAUUAAACCUUACCAUUUAGAGGAAGGUGAAGUCGUAACA
RNAcentral lists this ribosomal RNA (324 nucleotides) under uncultured eukaryote. Its description in RNAcentral is "partial 18S ribosomal RNA". It matches the Rfam family "Eukaryotic small subunit ribosomal RNA", at positions 1470 to 1796 of the family's 1831-position model. The record is from RNAcentral.